RNAcentral lists this unclassified non-coding RNA (240 nucleotides) under soil metagenome. Its description in RNAcentral is "partial contains 5.8S ribosomal RNA, internal transcribed spacer 2, and large subunit ribosomal RNA". The record is from RNAcentral.
AACGAGGCCGACCUGCGGCUGAGUUACCUGCGGAAGGAUCAUUACAGAGUUGCAAAACUCCCUAAACCAUUGUGAACGUUACCUAAACCGUUGCUUCGGCGGGCGGCCCGGGUCCUUCCCGGCGCCCAUCGGCCCUCGCGGGCGCCCGCCGGAGGUAAACCAAACUAUUGCAUUGUAUGGCCUCUCUGAGUCUUCUGUACUGAAUAAGUCAAAACUUUCAACAACGGAUCUCAGAUCGGA